UACACUCCUGCGGGAGGCAGCAGUAGGGAAUCUUCCACAAUGGGUGCAAACCUGAUGGAGCAAUGCCGCGUGAGUGAAGAAGGUCUUCGGAUCGUAAAGCUCUGUUGUUAGAGAAGAACACGUGCUAGGUAACUACUAGCGCCUUGACGGUAUCUAACCAGAAAGUCACGGCUAACUACGUGCCAGCAGCCGCGGUAAUACGUAGGUGACAAGCGUUGUCCGGAUUUAUUGGGCGUAAAGGGAGCGCAGGCGGUCUGUUUAGUCUAAUGUGAAAGCCCACGGCUUAACCGUGGAACGGCAUUGGAAACUGACAGACUUGAAUGUAGAAGAGGAAAAUGGAAUUCCAAGUGUAGCGGUGGAAUGCGUAGAUAUUUGGAGGAACACCAGUGGCGAAGGCGAUUUUCUGGUCUAACAUUGACGCUGAGGCUCGAAAGCGUGGGGAGCGAACAGGAUUAGAAACCCUAGUAGUCCCA
Molecule: ribosomal RNA, 473 nt
Filed under: uncultured organism
Description: partial 16S ribosomal RNA
Rfam family: Bacterial small subunit ribosomal RNA
Source: RNAcentral